This is an RNA transcript of Rhagoletis zephyria (snowberry fruit fly), 2045 nucleotides long. RefSeq lists it as uncharacterized. The record is from RefSeq and is a predicted model, not a curated record. Lineage: Eukaryota; Metazoa; Arthropoda; Insecta; Diptera; Tephritidae.
UGCGCAAUAACUUAAAAAAAGUUAGUGCUUAGUUCAGUGGCAGAAACAAUGCAAAGAAAGAAAUUAAAAAGUGAAGUGAAGCAGAUAGUAGAUCUUCUUGCAGAGCGUGAAGUGGCCGCUCCUACACGUCAGGAGUGUCAGGGCCAAGAAGAUACUUUCACUGCAAGCUCGUCCACUUCAAAUAUAUCGGAUGAUGAAUUGAGUGAGUCGAAAAGUGAUGGUGUUACAGAUUUCGAAAAAUCUGUAGAUUUGAGAAUUGAAUUAGCGGCAUGGUCUGUGCAAUUCAAUAUAUCAACGGCGGCUACCAAUAGUUUAUUAACAAUAUUGUGCAAACACGUGGGUGAUCUUCCACGGGAUUCAAGGACUUUAAAAUCCACUCCUAGGAGACCACCUGUUGAAAAUAUGGGACUAGGAGAAUACAUUCACUACGGUGUUGAGGACUCACUAACUGAUUUUUUAAUAAACAACUCCUAUAGUUUGAUGGAAAUCCAUCUUAACGUUAAUAUUGACGGCCUUCCACUUUCAAAAAGUUCCAAUUUGCAGACUUGGCCAAUAUUAAUAAAUGUCAAUGGAACGCCUAAUGUUAUGGUUGUAGGGGCUUAUUCCGGCAAUAGUAAACCAUUAUCUCCAAAUGAUUAUUUGCAAAGGUUUGUAAACGAGUUGCUGGAGCUGUUAGAAAAGGGGUUGGAUUACAAUGGCAGUCAUUAUUCCAUUCAUUUUCGUUCAUUUAUUUGCGAUGCGCCAGCAAGGUCCUAUAUUUUAGGAGUUAAAGGACACACUGGUUUCUCUAGUUGUAUCAAAUGCACGCAAAGAGGAGAAUCCCUUGGGCAUAGAAUGAUUUUUCGUAGUGAAAUUCAUAGCGCUAGAACAGAUUUAAGUUUCCGAUCCCGUUUGGACGUAAAUCAUCACAAACUUAUCGAGUCAACAGCUAUCGAAAAACUGCCCAUCGAUAUUGUAAACUCUUUUCCUUAUGAUUACAUGCAUGUUGUAUGCCUUGGUGUAACCAAAUCUUUGCUUCUUGGAUGGGUUAGGCAGAGAAAUAAAACUUAUUCUUUGAAAUCCUCGACUAUAAGUUUGUUGAAUUCUCGAUUAUUGUUUCUAAGUAAUCAGGUUCCAAAAGAAUUUGCUCGUCAUCCACGUGGCCUGAGCGAUAUUGAAAGGUUUAAGGCUACUGAGCUAAGGACAUUUCUGUUAUAUACAGGAAUUUUCGCUUUAGCUGAAGUCUUAGAUGUAGAAAGAUAUACGCAUUUCUUAAUGCUAAGCUUGGGCAUAAGAAUAUUAUUGAAUGAAAAGUCCUGUAAGGAAAACAAUGCGUGCGCAAAAAUACUCUUGAAUGAAUUUGUUAAAAAAGUUCCAAAUUUUUAUGAUGAUUCUUUUUUAACAUUCAACUAUCACUGCCUUACACACUUGCAUAGUGAUGCAUUGAACCAUGGAUGCUUAGAGUCUGUAAGUGCGUUCAAAUUCGAAAAUUUUUUGUCGAAACUCAAACGAAAAUGCAAUAAAAAAGAUCACAUUGCUGCACAAAUAUAUAACCGCUUGGUUGAGGAAAGUUUAUAUUCCUCUCAAUAUUCUGCAGCAAAAAUUACAAAUAAAAAAGCAGAUGAAAAUGGACCAGUGAAGUCAAUAAAUACAGAAUUCUUUUACUUAUCCCUUAAACGUCCAGAUAAUUUUUACAGCGUCCAAAAUAAAAUAUUUAUUCUCAAACGACUUUCAAAAAAAGACAGUGCUUUUGAAAUUAUUUCCAGAGAAGUUAUAAACUUAACAGACUUUUUUACGAUUCCUAUAAAAUCAUCCCAUUUUAAUAUUAAAUGUUGCGCCACAUUGCAGUUUUCUGAUUGUCAAUUUCAGCAUUCAGUACAUGAAAUAUCUCAGAAAAUCAUUGUCUUUAAUAAUUUCGAAUGUAAUAAAUUUAUAUUUAUACCUUUCAUUCACAUGUAGAUGGAUUUAAACAGCACAUUUCUUAGUUCGUCAGCAAUACUAGCAGAGGAGCUGAUAUCUAAAAAAGAACAAGAAAUUACACAAAAGCUUCUGAAACGCGUUCUCGA